UACGUAGGGGGCUAGCGUUGUCCGGAAUCAUUGGGCGUAAAGGGCGCGUAGGCGGCCGAUCAAGUCGGAGGUGAAAUCCCUCGGCUCAACUGAGGAAUUGCCUUCGAUACUGUUCGGCUUGAGUCCUGGAGAGGGUAGCGGAAUUCCCGGUGUAGCGGUGAAAUGCGCAGAUAUCAGGAAGAACACCCGUGGCUAAGGCGGCUCUCUAGUACGGUACUGACGCUGAGACGCGAAAGCGUGGGGAGCGAACAGG
RNAcentral lists this ribosomal RNA (253 nucleotides) under uncultured bacterium. Its description in RNAcentral is "partial 16S ribosomal RNA". It matches the Rfam family "Bacterial small subunit ribosomal RNA", at positions 524 to 776 of the family's 1533-position model. The record is from RNAcentral.